Molecule: ribosomal RNA, 258 nt
Filed under: uncultured bacterium
Lineage: Bacteria
Description: partial 16S ribosomal RNA
Rfam family: Bacterial small subunit ribosomal RNA
Source: RNAcentral
UGGCGGACGGGUGAGUAACGCGUGGGCAACCUGCCUUACACAGGGGGAUAACACUUAGAAAUAGGUGCUAAAACCGCAUAAGCGCACAGCUUCGNAUGAAGCGGUGUGAAAAACUCCGGUGGUGUAAGAUGGACCCGCGUCUGAUUAGCUUGUUGGCGGGGUAACGGCCCACCAAGGCGACGAUCAGUAGCCGGCCUGAGAGGGCGGACGGCCACAUUGGGACUGAGACACGGCCCAGACUCCUACGGAAGGCAGCAG